Molecule: ribosomal RNA, 483 nt
Filed under: uncultured bacterium
Lineage: Bacteria
Description: partial 16S ribosomal RNA
Rfam family: Bacterial small subunit ribosomal RNA
Source: RNAcentral
GAUGAACGCUGGCGGCGUGCCUAACACAUGCAAGUCGAACGAAGCUUGACGGAUGAUUUCUUCGGAAUGAAACCAGAUAUGACUUAGUGGCGGACGGGUGAGUAACACGUGAGCAACCUGCCUUUCAGAGGGGGAUAACGGCUGGAAACGGUCGCUAAUACCGCAUGAUGUGUUCGGAUGGCAUCAUCUGAACAUCAAAGAUUUAUCGCUGAAAGAUGGGCUCGCGUCUGAUUAGAUAGUUGGUGGGGUAACGGCCUACCAAGUCUACGAUCAGUAGCCGGACUGAGAGGUGGAACGGCCACAUUGGGACUGAGAUACGGCCCAGACUCCUACGGGAGGCAGCAGUGGGGAAUAUUGCACAAUGGGGGAAACCCUGAUGCAGCAACGCCGCGUGAAGGAUGACGGUUUUCGGAUUGUAAACUUCUUUUCUUAGUGACGAAGACAGUGACGGUAGCUAAGGAAUAAGCAUCGGCUAACUACGUG